AACGAACGCUGGCGGCAUGCCUAACACAUGCAAGUCGAACGAGACCUUCGGGUCUAGUGGCGCACGGGUGCGUAACGCGUGGGAACCUGCCCUUAGGUUCGGAAUAACUCCCCGACAGGGGUGCUAAUACCGGAUAAUGUCUUCGGACCAAAGAUUUAUCGCCUUUGGAUGGGCCCGCGUUGGAUUAGCUAGUUGGUAGGGUAAAAGCCUACCAAGGCGACGAUCCAUAGCUGGUCUGAGAGGAUGAUCAGCCACACUGGGACUGAGACACGGCCCAGACUCCUACGGGAGGCAGCAGUGGGGAAUGGUGGACAAUGGGCGAAGGGCUGAUCCAGCAAGGCCGCGUGAGUGAUGAAGGCCUUAGGGUUGUAAAGCGCUUUUACCCGGGAUGAUAAUGACAGUACCGGGAGAAUAAGCUCCGGCUAACUCCGUG
RNAcentral lists this ribosomal RNA (433 nucleotides) under uncultured bacterium. RNAcentral describes it as "partial 16S ribosomal RNA". It matches the Rfam family "Bacterial small subunit ribosomal RNA", at positions 29 to 507 of the family's 1533-position model. The record is from RNAcentral.